UCCACUCCCUUGAAUCUAACAAAGCCAUACUUCCGACCACUUCUGUUUUUUUUCUUCGCAAUGAAGACCUCUCUCACAUCCUCCCAUUUCUUAAAAUUCAAACCACAGAUCCUUCUCACCCAUCUCCUUUGGAAAUCUUGUGAAAUAGAAGGAGCGAACGUCCGGUGCAUCCCUCCAAUUUGUCCUUCCGUGUUCCUGUAGUUGUGCCGCCAAUGUCACCGCUGAUUGUUGGCCAUACCUAUUCU
Molecule: unclassified non-coding RNA, 245 nt
Filed under: uncultured bacterium
Lineage: Bacteria
Description: contains 16S-23S intergenic spacer region
Source: RNAcentral